This 1194-nucleotide ribosomal RNA is filed under the name Lachnum sp. IHEM 28161. RNAcentral describes it as "partial 28S ribosomal RNA". It matches the Rfam family "Eukaryotic large subunit ribosomal RNA", at positions 98 to 1461 of the family's 3401-position model. Lineage: Eukaryota; Fungi; Ascomycota; Leotiomycetes; Helotiales; Lachnaceae. The record is from RNAcentral.
GCGGUAACAGCUCAAAUUUGAAAUCUGGCUCUUUCAGGGUCCGAGUUGUAAUUUGUAGAAGAUGCUUUGGGUGUGGCUCUAGUCUAAGUUCCUUGGAACAGGACGUCAUAGAGGGUGAGAAUCCCGUAUGUGAUUAGGUGCCUUCGCCCGUGUAAAGCUCUUUCGACGAGUCGAGUUGUUUGGGAAUGCAGCUCAAAAUGGGUGGUAAAUUUCAUCUAAAGCUAAAUAUUGGCCAGAGACCGAUAGCGCACAAGUAGAGUGAUCGAAAGAUGAAAAGCACUUUGGAAAGAGAGUUAAACAGUACGUGAAAUUGUUGAAAGGGAAGCGCUUGCAACCAGACUCGCAUGCCGUCGAUCAUCCUGCGUUCUCGCUGGUGCACUCGGCGGCCUUCGGGCCAGCAUCAGUUUGGGUGGUGGGAUAAAGGCCUUGGGAAUGUAGCUCCUCUCGGGGAGUGUUAUAGCCCUCGGUGCAAUGCCGCCUACCUGGACUGAGGACCGCGCUUCGGCUAGGAUGCUGGCGUAAUGGUUGUAAGCGACCCGUCUUGAAACACGGACCAAGGAGUCUAAACAUCUAUGCGAGUAUUUGGGUGUCAAACCCAUAUGCGUAAUGAAAGUGAACGGAGGUGAGAACCCUUAAGGGUGCAUCAUCGACCGAUCCUGAUGUCUUCGGAUGGAUUUGAGUAAGAGCAUAGCUGUUGGGACCCGAAAGAUGGUGAACUAUGCCUAAAUAGGGUGAAGCCAGAGGAAACUCUGGUGGAGGCUCGCAGCGGUUCUGACGUGCAAAUCGAUCGUCAAAUUCGGGCAUAGGGGCGAAAGACUAAUCGAACCAUUACUACUAGGUGGUUAACAGAGUAUAUUGAUGCUUCUAGUCCUUAUUGUACAAGGGCGACAUUGCCAAAUUGCGGGGACGCCCUGUCCAACACUAGACUACCGCGGAUUGCUGAAAAGUGAGUCCGCACAAGGGUCAUGCCUUGGGGUAAGAAUGUCUAGCCUGGGGUAAUCCGCAGCCAAGCCCUAAGUGCGCGAGCAUAUGGGUGCAGUUCAGAGACUAAAUGGUAGUGGGCGCUGGUAACAGCCAGCGCUUAAGUUAUAGUCCAUCCCCCGAGCAAUCGGGGCCGGUGCAUAAGGUUGUACAGCGCUACAAUGGAACGUGAGAGCACGCUUUCAGCUGUACGAUACAACCAUCGGCGGUAGG